AGGAGUUGCUGCCAGAGAACCAGGAAUGGGCUGCUUGCAGCAUAUUAUUUGCUCAGUUUAUAUUAUAUAGGCAUGUGAGAGUUGAGAACCAUUGUUGAAUGAAGAAUUUCAGUCACCUGGAUCCAAGGUAUUCACAUCCCAAAGGAAUCUUUCCAGAAGACUAUCCCCAUGACAUGAGAAAACUUUUCAUCAUUAAGCUGAUGUCAGAUUGCCAGUAUCCAGUCGUUCCUGAUAGAUACCUAAUGUUUUAUUAUGGAAAAAGUUGGUGGAGUUUAUCAAGGUCAUAAAAGUCUCAGCUGUUAGAAGACUCCAUGGAAAUUAUACAGGAAUCAUUUGACUGCUCUAUAGGAGCCCAUGCUAGAAGACAGGAACACCUGAGGAACUGCAGUGGUAAAGAAAGACAUAAAAAAGUGUUUGAUGGGCACUUGGCACAAAUUUUAUUGGAGGAAAUAUUUUCCAUUAAACCUACAAGGAGAUCCAGUUGCUUCUUCUGUGCUGUGUUCCAGUUCCACUCUCACAGUCUGAACUCUCACAUGCCAGCUUCUAAACCAUGGUCUUUCUUCUCUUCCUGGCAGCCAGU
Athene cunicularia (burrowing owl) is the source of this 580-nucleotide long non-coding RNA. RefSeq lists it as uncharacterized. The record is from RefSeq and is a predicted model, not a curated record. The transcript has 3 exons. Lineage: Eukaryota; Metazoa; Chordata; Aves; Strigiformes; Strigidae.